GAAGGCCUUCGGGUUGUAAAGCUCUUUCAGACGGAAAGAAAUCGGUGUGUCUAAUACACGCACUGGAUGACGGUACCGUAAGAAGAAGCACCGGCUAACUACGUGCCAGCAGCCGCGGUAAUACGUAGGGUGCGAGCGUUAAUCGGAAUUACUGGGCGUAAAGCGUGCGCAGGCGGUGAUGUAAGACAGAUGUGAAAUCCCCGGGCUCAACCUGGGAACUGCGUUUGUGACUGCAUCACUCGAGUACGGCAGAGGGAGGUGGAAUUCCACGUGUAGCAGUGAAAUGCGUAGAGAUGUGGAGGAACACCGAUGGCGAAGGCAGCCUCCUGGGCCAGUACUGACGCUCAUGCACGAAAGCGUGGGGAGCAAACAGGAUUAGAUACCCUGGUAGUCCACGCCCUAAACGAUGUCAACUAGUUGUUCGGUGAGGAGACUCAUUGAGUAACGCAGCUAACGCGUGAAGUUGACCGCCUGGGGAGUACGGCCGCAAGGUUAAAACUCAAAGGAAUUGACGGGGAC
RNAcentral lists this ribosomal RNA (519 nucleotides) under uncultured bacterium. Its description in RNAcentral is "bacterial SSU rRNA". It matches the Rfam family "Bacterial small subunit ribosomal RNA", at positions 410 to 920 of the family's 1533-position model. The record is from RNAcentral.